RNAcentral lists this ribosomal RNA (424 nucleotides) under Acidobacteriota bacterium. RNAcentral describes it as "Acidobacteria bacterium partial 16S ribosomal RNA". It matches the Rfam family "Bacterial small subunit ribosomal RNA", at positions 355 to 776 of the family's 1533-position model. Lineage: Bacteria; Pseudomonadati; Acidobacteriota. The record is from RNAcentral.
UGAGGAAUAUUGGUCAAUGGACGAGAGUCUGAACCAGCCAAGUAGCGUGAAGGAUGAAGGUCCUACGGAUUGUAAACUUCUUUUAUAAGGGAAUAAACCCUCCCACGUGUGGGAGCUUGUAUGUACCUUAUGAAUAAGCAUCGGCUAACUCCGUGCCAGCAGCCGCGGUAAUACGGAGGAUGCGAGCGUUAUCCGGAUUUAUUGGGUUUAAAGGGAGCGCAGACGGGUCGUUAAGUCAGCUGUGAAAGUUUGGGGCUCAACCUUAAAAUUGCAGUUGAUACUGGCGUCCUUGAGUGCGGUUGAGGUGUGCGGAAUUCGUGGUGUAGCGGUGAAAUGAUUAGAUAUCACGAAGAACUCCGAUUGCGAAGGCAGCACACUAAUCCGUAACUGACGUUCAUGCUCGAAAGUGUGGGUAUCAAACAGG